UACGUAGGAUGCGAGCGUUAAUCGGAAUUACUGGGCGUAAAGCGUGCGCAGGCGGUUUUGUAAGCCAGAUGUGAAAGCCCCGGGCUUAACCUGGGAAUGGCAUUUGGGACUGCAAGGCUGGAGUGUGGCAGAGGAGACUGGAAUUCCUGGUGUAGCAGUGAAAUGCGUAGAUAUCAGGAGGAAUACCGAUGGCGAAGGCAGGUCUCUGGGCUGACACUGACGCUCAUGCACGAAAGCGUGGGGAGCAAACAGG
Molecule: ribosomal RNA, 253 nt
Filed under: uncultured bacterium
Lineage: Bacteria
Description: partial 16S ribosomal RNA
Rfam family: Bacterial small subunit ribosomal RNA
Source: RNAcentral